Molecule: ribosomal RNA, 1953 nt
Filed under: human gut metagenome
Description: bacterial LSU rRNA
Rfam family: Bacterial large subunit ribosomal RNA
Source: RNAcentral
UCAAGCUGAUAAGGGCGCAGGGUGGAUGCCUUGGCACUAAGAGCCGAAGAAAGACGUGAUAAGCUGCGAAAAGCUGCGGUGAGGAGCAAAUAUCCAUUGACCCGCAGAUAUCUGAAUGGGGAAACCCGGCUGAGCAAACCUCAGUCAUCCAUACGCCAAUACAUAACGUAUGGAGGGGAACCCGGGGAACUGAAACAUCUAAGUACCCGGAGGAAGAGAAAGAAACAUCGAUUUCCUAAGUAGCGGCGAGCGAAAGGGAAAGAGCCUAAACCGGAGCGCGUGCGUUCCGGGGUCAUGGACUGCAUAAGUGAGUCAGAAGCUAGAAGAAAGGUUUUGGGAAAGCCUGCCAGAGAGAGUGAAAGCCUCGUAUUUGAAAGCGGAAGACAGCGGCAGUAUCCGGAGUACCACGAGACACGAGAAACCUUGUGGGAAGUCGGGGGGACCACCCCCCAAGGCUAAAUACUACUUAGUGACCGAUAGCGCAUAGUACUGUGAAGGAAAGGUGAAAAGAACCCCGGGAGGGGAGUGAAAGAGAACCUGAAACCCUGUGUCUACAAGCUGUGGAAGCACCCUACGAGUGCAACCGCGUACUUUUUGUAGAACGGUCCGGCGAGUUAUGUGGUGUGGCAAGGUUAAGCACGGAAAGUGUGGAGCCGAAGGGAAACCAAGUCUUAACUGGGCGAUAAAGUCACAUAACAUAGACCCGAAACCGGGUGAUCUAUCCAUGUCCAGGUUGAAGCUGCUGUAAAAGGUGGUGGAGGACCGAACGCACAUCCGUUGAAAAGGGUGGCGAUGAGGUGUGGAUAGGGGAGAAAUUCCAAUCGAACUCGGAGAUAGCUGGUUCUCCUCGAAAUAGUUUUAGGACUAGCCUGUCAGGAGUCUGCUGGAGGUAGAGCACUGAAUUUUUGCGGGGGCGUCAAAGCCUACCAAUGAAUAUCAAACUCCGAAUGCCAGCCAGAUGCUCUGAUGGAGUCAGACUGCACGAGAUAAGUUGGGUAGUCAAAAGGGAAACAGCCCAGACCACCAGCUAAGGUCCCAAAGUGCGUGUUAAGUGGAAAAGGAUGUGGGAAUUCGAAGACAACUAGGAUGUUGGCUCAGAAGCAGCCAUUCAUUCAAAGAGUGCGUAACAGCUCACUAGUCGAGAGUUCCUGCGCCGAAAAUGUCCGGGGCUAAAACACGACACCGAAGCUGUGGAAUCAUGCUUGCAUGAUUGGUAGAGGAGCAUUCGCUGAGAGACGAAGCUGUACCGAAAGGAGCAGUGGAUUUCAGUGAAGAGAGAAUGCCGGAAUGAGUAGCGAGAGAUAGGUGAGAAUCCUAUCGGCCGAAUAUCUAAGGUUUCCAGAGUAAAGCUGAUCUGCUCUGGGUAAGUCGGGGCCUAAGGCGAGGUCGAAAGACGUAGUCGAUGGAUAACAGGUAGAGAUUCCUGUACUUCAUAAUAUCAGAAAUGUGGGGACACAGAGGCGAAGCACAAGCCGGGAAUGGAAAGACCGGUGCAAGCUAAGGAGCAGUAUGAGAGGCAAAUCCCUCAUAUAAUGCAAGAGAGUGAAGCGUAGCGAACAUAAGGGUAGCGAAGUGUGUGGAGAAGCUGUCAGGAAAAGCCGCUAUUGUGUAUUAUGAACCCGUACCGUAAACCGACACAGGUGGAUGAGGAGAGAAUCCUAAGGCCGACGGAAGAAGCAUUGUUAAGGAAUUCGGCAAAAUGACCCCGUAACUUCGGGAGAAGGGGUGCCUGCGCAAGCAGGUCGCAGAGAAUUGGCCCAAGCAACUGUUUAGCAAAAACACAGGUUUAUGCGAAACCGAAAGGUGAAGUAUAUGAGCUGACGCCUGCCCGGUGCUGGAAGGUUAAGGGGAGUGCUUAGACUUUGGUCGAAGGUGCGAACUUAAGCCCCAGUAAACGGCGGCCGUAACUAUAACGGUCCUAAGGUAGCGAAAUUCCUUGUCGGGUAAGUUCCG